AUAUUUGGAGAGUUGGGGAGAGAUGA
RNAcentral lists this non-coding RNA (26 nucleotides) under Cricetulus griseus (Chinese hamster). Lineage: Eukaryota; Metazoa; Chordata; Mammalia; Rodentia; Cricetidae. The record is from RNAcentral.